UUUUGGGCAUUCGGUUCCGGCACGCAAAAUGAUGCAAAACGGGUGCAUUUCGGCACCCGAAUGCACUAUUGCCGGGUAGCGAAACUCGUGUGGAUUUUUUCGCAACGAACGCAUGCAAUCUUCCUAAAUAUGCACUAGAACAUGUUUGGGAGUGUUUUUGGGCAUUCGGUUCCGGCACGCAAAAUGAUGCAAAACGGGUGCAUUUCGGCACCCGAAUGCACUAUUGCCG
RNAcentral lists this long non-coding RNA (229 nucleotides) under Setaria viridis. RNAcentral describes it as "long non-coding RNA (SVIR_LNC010852)". The record is from RNAcentral. Lineage: Eukaryota; Viridiplantae; Streptophyta; Magnoliopsida; Poales; Poaceae.